UGGGUAACCUACCUAUAAGACUGGGAUAACUCCGGGAAACCGGGGCUAAUACCGGAUAACACAUGAAACCGCAUGGUUUCAUGAUGAAAGACGGUUUUGCUGUCACUUAUAGAUGGACCCGCGGCGUAUUAGCUAGUUGGUAAGGUAACGGCUUACCAAGGCAACGAUACGUAGCCGACCUGAGAGGGUGAUCGGCCACACUGGAACUGAGACACGGUCCAGACUCCUACGGGAGGCAGCAGUG
RNAcentral lists this ribosomal RNA (244 nucleotides) under uncultured Staphylococcus sp. Its description in RNAcentral is "partial 16S ribosomal RNA". It matches the Rfam family "Bacterial small subunit ribosomal RNA", at positions 118 to 356 of the family's 1533-position model. The record is from RNAcentral. Lineage: Bacteria; Bacillati; Bacillota; Bacilli; Caryophanales; Staphylococcaceae.